GACUACAGGGGUAUCUAAUCCUGUUUGCUCCCCACGCUUUCGUGCUUUAGCGUCAAUAGUGGACCAGAGGACCGCCUUCGCCACUGGUGUUCUUUCUGAUAUCUACGCAUUUCACUGCUACACCAGAAAUUCCAUCCUCCUCUUCCACAUUCAAGCCUUGCAGUAUCAAAAGCAGUUCCAGAGUUAAGCUCUAGGAUUUCACUUCUGACUUACAAAACCGCCUGAGCACCCUUUACACCCAGUAAAUCCGGACAACGUUUGCCCCCUACGUAUUACCGCGGCUGCUGGCACGUAGUUAGCCGGGGCUUACUUUUGAGGUACCAUCAUAUUCCACAGAGUGGAAAUUUUUUCCCUCACUACAGAGGUUUACGAGCAAAAGCCCUUCAUCCCUCACGCGGCGUUGCUGCUUCAGGAUUUCUCCCAUUGAGCAAUAUUCCUUACUGCAGCCCCCCGUAGG
This 457-nucleotide ribosomal RNA is filed under the name uncultured bacterium. Its description in RNAcentral is "partial 16S ribosomal RNA". The record is from RNAcentral.